RNAcentral lists this non-coding RNA (20 nucleotides) under Arabidopsis thaliana (thale cress). The record is from RNAcentral. Lineage: Eukaryota; Viridiplantae; Streptophyta; Magnoliopsida; Brassicales; Brassicaceae.
UGGAAGCAAACGGUCUGGAA